GCCAAUUCUAGCAUAGGAGACCUUGGCAUGUCUCCUACCAGUGGGAGACCAAAAUACCUGCUAUAGAAGGUGGAACCGGUAAUACCAAUAUAUUUUUUAUUAUUUUACUAUUUAGUUUUAGACAUAAUAAAUAAUGUUUCUAAAUAUUUGGCAAAUUGAUUUAUUUAUUCAUUAAAAACAAUACUUUAUUAAUAGAAAUUAGAAGUGAAAUUAUUCACUUUUCACCGAGAUUUAUCAUCGAUAGAACACGAUUGUUCUUUGAACUUUGAAGAGAAACCAUUGACACCGACGAAUUCAAUUUGAAGAGCAGAUCGGACUCUAAUCAGCGA
RNAcentral lists this long non-coding RNA (329 nucleotides) under Trifolium pratense (red clover). RNAcentral's name for it is "long non-coding RNA (TPRA_LNC006931)". Lineage: Eukaryota; Viridiplantae; Streptophyta; Magnoliopsida; Fabales; Fabaceae. The record is from RNAcentral.